UACGGAGGGUGCAAGCGUUGUUCGGAAUCACUGGGCGUAAAGCGCGUGUAGGCUGUUGUGAAAGUUGGGUGUGAAAGCCCUCGGCUCAACCGAGGAAUAGCGCCCAAAACUACACAACUGGAGUACGGGAGAGGGACGUGGAAUUCCUGGUGUAGAGGUGAAAUUCGUAGAUAUCAGGAGGAACACCCGUGGCGAAGGCGACGUCCUGGACCGAUACUGACGCUGAGACGCGAAAGCGUGGGGAGCAAACAGG
This 253-nucleotide ribosomal RNA is filed under the name uncultured bacterium. RNAcentral describes it as "partial 16S ribosomal RNA". It matches the Rfam family "Bacterial small subunit ribosomal RNA", at positions 524 to 776 of the family's 1533-position model. The record is from RNAcentral.